AUGUCUAAUUGAGUACUGAAUUGUUGUACUGCCUACAUGAUGUGGGGAUUCUGAAAAGGGAGAAAUAAUAGGUAGUGGUUAGAAAACUAGAAGAUUAUCCAAAAAGUAUAACCCUGAAGAGUAGCAUUUGGAGAGGCAAAGAAAAGAAAGACAUGCUAUCUACAAGGAACACUGUAAGCAGAGGCUGACAACUCCAAAGUUCUACCUUUAGCCCAGAACCCUCUCCUGCAAUCUUUGGAAGAAGAUCUGCCACUUGCGAUUUCUCCAGGAUUGAUGAGAAUCACUGACAACUGCAAAUUUGGGCCCCUAGAGUCAACAGUGCACCUCUCCCACACAUGGCACAUAUACUCAUAGACUGGUGGAGCUGGCCUCCCAGUUUACAGAAGAAAAACCAAGUCCAAAGAGGUAAAAUGACUUCUUGGUUUGGAGUUGAGUGGGGCUUGCGUUUGACAACCACUAUCUCUUUACUUUUAAAGUAAAUUUUCAGGGCUGAUAGCAAAAAAAAAACACAAAAAAACAAAAACAAAAACAAAACAACAUUUUAAGAACUUUAAAAAACAUUAA
This is a long non-coding RNA of Felis catus (domestic cat), 564 nucleotides long. RefSeq lists it as uncharacterized. The transcript has 4 exons. The record is from RefSeq and is a predicted model, not a curated record. NCBI's taxonomy places the organism in Eukaryota, Metazoa, Chordata, Mammalia, Carnivora, Felidae.